GUAGUGUAUAUCAAAAUUGUUGCGGUUAAAGCGCUCGUAGUUGGAUUACAAAAGCUCUAAAACAAUCAAGUCCUAUCAUAUAUUGGUUUGAUUGUUGUGGGGUUUUUUUCUUGUGAGAGCCAUAUGUGAGAUUAAAUUCUUGUGUAUGGUCACUUGCAAAAUGUGCCUUGAAUAAAGCACAGUGCUCAAAGCAGGCGUAACGCUUGAAUGUAAUAGCAUGGAACGAUUAUUGUUGACCUAAUCAACUGUUGGUUGUUGAAUACCAAUAUGGUCUAGAUUAAAAGGAACAUUUGAGGGCGUUAGUACUUGGUGGCGAGGGGUGAAAUUCUUAGACCCAUCAAAGACUAACUAAUGCGAAAGCAUUCGCCAAGAAUGUUUUCAUUAAUCAAGAACGAAAGUUAGAGGUUCGAAGACGAUCAGAUACCGUCCUAGUUCUAUACAGUAAACUAUGCCAACAUGGGAUCAGUCCGGAACUAUCCAGGUUGGGCCCUCAGAGAAAUCAAGUUUUUAGGUCCUUGGGGGAGUGCGCACGCAAGUGAGAAACUUAAAGAAAUUGACGGAAUGGCACCACCAGGAGUGGAGCCUGCGGCUUAAUUUGACUCAACACGGGGAAACUCACCAGGUCCAGACAUUGAUAGGAUUGACAGACUGAGAGAUCUUUCAUGAUACGAUGAUUGGUGGUGCAUGGCCGUUCUUAGUUGGUGGAGUGAUCUGUCAGGUUAAUUCCGGUAACGAGCGAGACCACGGUCUUUAAUUGAUUACUAAUAUAUUUAUGUCAUAUUAAAUCUUAAAGAGACAACCGGAUUCAAGCCGGGGGAAGCGUGGCAAUAACAGGUCUGUGAUGCCCUUCGAUGUUCUGGGCUGCACGUGCGCUACAAUGAUAGUGACAACAAGUUCCUGCUCUGAGAUGAGUGGGGAAUCUUUAAAAUCGCUAUCUUGCUUUGGAUUGAGCCUUGUAAUAAUUGCUCAUGAAAGAGGAAUUCCUCGUAAGCGCGAGUCAUCAACUCGUGUUGAAUACGUCUCUGCCCUUUGUACACACCGCCCGUCGCUACUACCGACUGGAUGAUUCUUCGAAGAGUUAGGACCGGUUGAUCUGCAAAGAAUGACUGGGAUAAGCCCUAAGAUGAAUGAUCUGCAGGAAGUAAAAGUCGUAACAAGGUUUCCGUAG
This 1168-nucleotide ribosomal RNA is filed under the name Kudoa thunni. RNAcentral describes it as "SSU rRNA". It matches the Rfam family "Eukaryotic small subunit ribosomal RNA", at positions 594 to 1808 of the family's 1831-position model. Lineage: Eukaryota; Metazoa; Cnidaria; Myxozoa; Multivalvulida; Kudoidae. The record is from RNAcentral.